Molecule: non-coding RNA, 148 nt
Organism: Gorilla gorilla gorilla (western lowland gorilla)
Lineage: Eukaryota; Metazoa; Chordata; Mammalia; Primates; Hominidae
Rfam family: Metazoan signal recognition particle RNA
About the family: The signal recognition particle (SRP) is a universally conserved ribonucleoprotein.
Source: Rfam
GCCAGGUGUGGUGGUGCACACCUGUAAUCCCAGCUACUCAGGAGGCUGAGACAGGAGAAUCGCUUGAACUCGGGAGUUAGAGGUUGCAGUGAGCCGAGAUUGUGCCACUGCACUCCAGCCUGGGCGACAGAGUGAGACUCCGUCUCUA